CCUACGGGUGGCUGCAGUGAGGAAUAUUGGUCAAUGGGCGCGAGCCUGAACCAGCCAAGUAGCGUGAAGGAUGACUGCCCUAGGAGUUGUAAACUUCUUUUUAAAAGGAGUAAAAUGAGGCACUUGUUCCUUUUUGUAUUUACUUUAUCAAUAAGGAUCGGCUAACUACGUGCCAGCAGCCGCGGUAAUUCGUAGGAACCGAGCGUUAUCCGGAUUUAGUGGGUGUAAAGGUAGCGUAGAUGGGUUGUUAAGUCAGUUGUGAAAGUUUGCGGAGCAACUGUAAAAUUGCAACUGUUACUGGCAGUCUUGAGUACAGUAGAGGUAGGCGGAAUUCGUGGUGUAGCGGUGAAAUGCUUAGAUAUAACGAAGAACUCCGAUGGCGAAGGCAGCUUACUAGGCUGCAACUGACACUGAGGCUCGAAAGUGUGGGGAGCAAACAGGAUUAGAUACCCCUGUAGUC
Molecule: ribosomal RNA, 460 nt
Filed under: uncultured bacterium
Lineage: Bacteria
Description: partial 16S ribosomal RNA
Rfam family: Bacterial small subunit ribosomal RNA
Source: RNAcentral